Molecule: ribosomal RNA, 599 nt
Filed under: Enterobacter hormaechei
Lineage: Bacteria; Pseudomonadati; Pseudomonadota; Gammaproteobacteria; Enterobacterales; Enterobacteriaceae
Description: partial 23S ribosomal RNA
Rfam family: Bacterial large subunit ribosomal RNA
Source: RNAcentral
GUGGGUAGUUUGACUGGGGCGGUCUCCUCCCAAAGAGUAACGGAGGAGCACGAAGGUUGGCUAAUCCUGGUCGGACAUCAGGAGGUUAGUGCAAUGGCAUAAGCCAGCUUGACUGCGAGCGUGACGGCGCGAGCAGGUGCGAAAGCAGGUCAUAGUGAUCCGGUGGUUCUGAAUGGAAGGGCCAUCGCUCAACGGAUAAAAGGUACUCCGGGGAUAACAGGCUGAUACCGCCCAAGAGUUCAUAUCGACGGCGGUGUUUGGCACCUCGAUGUCGGCUCAUCACAUCCUGGGGCUGAAGUAGGUCCCAAGGGUAUGGCUGUUCGCCAUUUAAAGUGGUACGCGAGCUGGGUUUAGAACGUCGUGAGACAGUUCGGUCCCUAUCUGCCGUGGGCGCUGGAGAAUUGAGGGGGGCUGCUCCUAGUACGAGAGGACCGGAGUGGACGCAUCACUGGUGUUCGGGUUGUCAUGCCAAUGGCACUGCCCGGUAGCUAAAUGCGGAAGAGAUAAGUGCUGAAAGCAUCUAAGCACGAAACUUGCCCCGAGAUGAGUUCUCCCUGAGACUUUAAGUCUCCUGAAGGAACGUUGAAGACGACGACGUU